CAGUCGCCGCGGGAAUACGAAGGUGGCUAGCGUUGUUCGGAAUUACUGGGCGUAAAGCGUGCGUAGGCGGCUUUUUAAGUCGGAUGUGAAAUCCCUGAGCUUAACUUAGGAAUUGCAUUCGAUACUGGGAAGCUAGAGUAUGGGAGAGGAUGGUAGAAUUCCAGGUGUAGCGGUGAAAUGCGUAGAGAUCUGGAGGAAUACCGAUGGCGAAGGCAGCCAUCUGGCCUAAUACUGACGCUGAGGUACGAAAGCAUGGGGAGCAAACAGGAUUAGAUACCCCUGUAGUCCCUGUCUCUUAUAC
This 301-nucleotide ribosomal RNA is filed under the name uncultured bacterium. RNAcentral's name for it is "partial 16S ribosomal RNA". It matches the Rfam family "Bacterial small subunit ribosomal RNA", at positions 509 to 807 of the family's 1533-position model. The record is from RNAcentral.